GCGUAAAGGGUCCGCAGGGUGGCAUUGUAAGUCUGCUGUUACAGAGUUUGGCUCAACCAAAUAAGAGCAGUGGAAACUACAAAGCUAGAGUGUGGUCGGGGCAGAGGGAAUUCCUGGUGUAGCGGUGAAAUGCGUAGAUAUCAGGAAGAACACCAGUGGCGAAGGCGCUCUGCUAGGCCGAGACUGACACUGAGGGACGAAAGCUAGGGGAGCGAAUGGGAUUAGAUACCCCAGUAGUCCUAGCCGUAAACGAUGGAUACUAGGCGUAGCUCGUAUCGACCCGAGCUGUGCCGGAGCUAACGCGUUAAGUAUCCCGCCUGGGGAGUACGCAGGCAACUGUGAAACUCAAAGGAAUUGACGGGGGCCCGCACAAGCGGUGGAGUAUGUGGUUUAAUUCGAUGCAACGCGAAGAACCUUACCAAGGCUUGACAUGUCACGAAUCCUAUUGAAAGAUGGGAGUGCCUUCGGGAGCGUGAACACAGGUGGUGCAUGGCUGUCGUCAGCU
RNAcentral lists this ribosomal RNA (505 nucleotides) under uncultured bacterium. Its description in RNAcentral is "bacterial SSU rRNA". It matches the Rfam family "Bacterial small subunit ribosomal RNA", at positions 558 to 1060 of the family's 1533-position model. The record is from RNAcentral.